GUCUAUGGCCAUGCCACUAUGAACAAGCCUGGUGUCUGAUCUCAGAAGUUAAGCAGGGGCGGGCCUGGUUAGUACUUAGAUGAGAGAUCACCUGGGAAGAUCGAAUGCUGUAGGCA
Molecule: ribosomal RNA, 116 nt
Filed under: Pteropus alecto (black flying fox)
Lineage: Eukaryota; Metazoa; Chordata; Mammalia; Chiroptera; Pteropodidae
Source: RNAcentral